Molecule: transfer RNA, 74 nt
Filed under: Myotis davidii
Lineage: Eukaryota; Metazoa; Chordata; Mammalia; Chiroptera; Vespertilionidae
Rfam family: tRNA
About the family: Transfer RNA (tRNA) molecules are approximately 80 nucleotides in length. Their secondary structure includes four short double-helical elements and three loops (D, anti-codon, and T loops). Further hydrogen bonds mediate the characteristic L-shaped molecular structure. tRNAs have two regions of fundamental functional importance: the anti-codon, which is responsible for specific mRNA codon recognition, and the 3' end, to which the tRNAs corresponding amino acid is attached (by aminoacyl-tRNA synthetases). tRNAs cope with the degeneracy of the genetic code in two manners: having more than one tRNA (with a specific anti-codon) for a particular amino acid; and 'wobble' base-pairing, i.e. permitting non-standard base-pairing at the 3rd anti-codon position.
Source: Rfam by way of RNAcentral
GCCGGUGUUGCUCAGUGGUUAGAGUGUUGGCCCGUGCACCAAAGGGUCAUGGGUUCGAUUCCCAGUCAAGGGCA